Molecule: unclassified non-coding RNA, 250 nt
Filed under: plant metagenome
Description: partial contains small subunit ribosomal RNA, internal transcribed spacer 1, and 5.8S ribosomal RNA
Source: RNAcentral
GUAGGUGAACCUGCGGAAGGAUCAUUACGUAAAAUGACGAUCUAGGUGAACCCCUCCGGGGCGGAGCCAGACCGACUUCUACCCCUGUUGUCUACCCCCCGUUGCUUUGGCGGGCCCGCUCGCGGGUGUCCCUGCUACGUGCUCUCUUGGCCGUGCCUGACGUGAGCUGUUUGCCCCCCGGGGCGCUCGGCCGCAGGCAGCGCGAGGCGUGGUGUGAGCUGUGCCGCCACUAGGCGUGCUCGGCCGCCCC